Molecule: ribosomal RNA, 466 nt
Filed under: uncultured bacterium
Lineage: Bacteria
Description: bacterial SSU rRNA
Rfam family: Bacterial small subunit ribosomal RNA
Source: RNAcentral
CCAGACUCCUACGGGAGGCAGCAGUGAGGAAUAUUGGUCAAUGGGCGCGAGCCUGAACCAGCCAAGUAGCGUGCAGGAUGACGGCCCUCCGGGUUGUAAACUGCUUUUAGUUGGGAAUAAAAGGGGGCUCGUGAGCCCCGUAUUGUAUGUACCAUCAGAAAAAGGACCGGCUAAUUCCGUGCCAGCAGCCGCGGUAAUACGUAGGGGGCAAGCGUUAUCCGGAUUUACUGGGUGUAAAGGGAGCGUAGACGGCAAGACAAGCCUGGAGUGAAAGGCGGGGGCCCAACCCCCGGACUGCUCUGGGAACUGUCUGGCUGGAGUGCAGGAGGGGUAAGUGGAAUUCCUAGUGUAGCGGUGAAAUGCGUAGAUAUUAGGAGGAACACCAGUGGCGAAGGCGGCUUACUGGACUGUAACUGACGUUGAGGCUCGAAAGCGUGGGGAGCAAACAGGAUUAGAUACCCGAGUA